CAACUGGAAGCCAUUUGUGUCAAGGUGACAUCCGGAGACAGGAAAGGGCAGGAGAAGCCAACCUCCCUGCUGGCCAUCACCCGACCCCAGGCGGCCGGACAGAGCCCGAAGCCUGGGAGCUGGCCUGGCCCAGUGGGGCUCGGGGUACAGCCUGUGGGUCCUCAAGGACCCAUGCCCGCCAAGAGGGUGAAGGCUACCCCUGCCCUGAGCAGCCAGGGCAGCAUGCCGACCCCUGUGACUGCCUCUGACCUGCCUGUGGCAGCACCUGCUGGGUCAGGGUUCAGCACAUCCGUCUCUGUCGCCAGCUGGCUCACGAACAGGGCAGACCGAGAAGCUCAGGAAGUCCUCGAGGGUGAAAACACGUUCUGGACGGAUAUCCCGGCCCCCCAAGUACAAGGCCAGAGAUUACAGAUUCAUCAAGACGGAGGACCUGGCAGACGGGCGGCUGUCGGACUCGGAUGACUACUUGGAGCUGAGCUCGGGGGACGAGGAGGAGCAGCGAGACCCUCGGGCGCUAUUCACCGUGGCCAGCUGUGCUCUACGGCCCCGGGCCUUUCGCUGCCAGGCCUGUGACAAGGCGUACAUUGGGCAGGGCGGGCUGGCCCGGCACUGGAGGCUGAACCCAGGCCACAGUGGGCUGCAGCCCAAGGCGUCACCCGAGAGGGGGCAGCUGGAGGCCGGCACUGGGGGCCCGGCCUUGCCAGAGCUGUGCAUACCGGCUGUGCCCCGCCAGGACGGGGCAGAGGCAGCACAAGGCAGCCCACAGUGUGUAGAAGUUGAAGAGGCGAUGGUGCUGGAGCCAGAAAAUGCCAGUCCUGCUUCGGGGAUUCAACCUGGAGACACCGAGGGCCUGGCAGAGUCCAGCGCAGCCGUCGCCCCGCCGAACGCCUACAGGAGCAGAGCCCAGCUCCAGGAGUUGCUCCUGCAGAGUGGCCCAGAGGACUUGAUGGAGCUGGUGCUGCCCCGGCUGGUACAGGUGGUGACUGUAUAUGAGUUUCUCCUGGUGAAGGUUGCCGAGUCCCUAGGAAUCCCAGGAUUUCUGAGGAAGACAGAAGCACGCCCAGACCACACUGUAGCCCAAGGCCACAGUCCAGAGAGGGCCGGGCUGAGGCUUGAGGAAGCCGGUGGCUGGCAGAGGUUGCAUGAGGCUGCACAGCAAGCACCCGCAGCACAGAGGCCCAGGCAAGCAGCUCUGCCCAUUGGUGACCCAGAGCGCCCUGCUGCCCUUGGCGGAGGCCAGGAGACUCCUGGGCUGGGUGUGCCCACUACAGGCAAGGGUUUUGCCCCUCCAGCGAUUGGGGCCGCUCCUGCCCUGCCUGAAGGCAGCCAUGGGGUGACAGUUUCCGGUGGGUUCACGAGUGUGUCACAUGCAGGCUGGCAGCUUACGGCAUCCGCUGACUCUGGAGCCAGGCGUGGGUCUGCAGGCCCUGGUGUCCUGUGUGGGGAGAGCCAUGGAACAGGUGCCCCACUAGGCGAGCCUAAAGAGCAUGUUCCAGAUGCCAAGGCCGCCCAGGGAAGCCUGGGAGCCUACAGCACCCUGUCACCAGCAGGAGAGGCUACAGGUGCAGAGCCAGGGGACCCAGGCGCCAGGCCCAUGGCCCCACUGCCUGAGGAGAUCUCGCCAAUAGACAUUGUGCCAGUGGACUGCACUCGCAGGACUGGCCCAGACAGGUCACCAUUGAGCAUAGGAAGCCAUUCUGGGGACCUGAAGCAGCUCCUCCAUGGGCUGGAGGUACACAUCAGCCUGGGAGACCUGGAAUGUGAGGCUGCUGUUGGGGACUCGGUGGCCUUUGAAAUCAGUAAUGGGUGCCCGGAAGUGCUUUGCCAGGGCCAGGAAAAGAUCCUCGUUCAGACUGCCAGCGGGGUCCUCCUGUCCCACUUGGGGACCACCACAUCACAGGAGAACACUGUCCUGGUGACCGGUGCAGGGGGCCCUGGCCUGCACAUCAGGGCCCCAGAAGGCAUCCCUCUGGUAGCAGGGGGCGAGACCCUCACAGUGCAGACCGAGCCCUCGCCAUGACCGUGUUGGAAGCAUGGUCCCACAUCUGUUCUGCCUGGAGUCCAGUGGGCAAUGGGGUUUUCUCCUGUGAACCCCGGUGAUGAGCCUGGUGUUUUCAUAAAGAGUAACAUCUGCAGUGCCUGUCCAGUUCCUCGGGGUGUCAGUACUGGGGUUCGGACAGAUUCAUCUCCAGACCUUUUUAAACUUUUUGAGACGGGCUCCCUGUGUACCUCAGACUGGCCCCUAGCUGGAACUUGGGGCAAUCCUGCCUCAGCCUCCCAAGUGCUGGACCACCACACCCGGCUUGUAGUCUUUUAUUUUGGAGCCCCAAAAUUCUUCAUUUCUCUGGGAGCGUUUGCUCUUUGGACCCUUAGCUUCAGUGUCACAGAGCUACCUUUGUCCCACAGCCUGAAGUCCCUCAGGUUGCUUUUCCUGAGGAACAGCAGACUCGCGCACAUAGCCUGCGCCAUGCUCCCGUGAUUCGAACAUGGCCUUUGCUCUGUGGGUCUGCUGGGCUGCAUGUCUGUAGAGGACUGGGAUUUGGGUUUGAGACCUUUGUUCCAAGCACAGGGCUGAUAGGAGGAAGUGGGGAGGAAAGAAAACGGACUGAGGCUGCACCUGUGGUGUACCAAAGGAAGUGCCCCUAGGACAGCCCAUCAGCAGCACAGAGCCUGGGGCCUUGCAGGCCUGGCCCUGGCGUUUCCUCAUCUGUAAAAGGGCAGAGCAGGGGCAGAGCCAUUGAGUUCUCCUUAGUUGGUAAAUUAAAUCAAUCUGGAUGAUUGAGGCAUGGUAGUACACACCUAACAUCACCGCUACUCCAGAGGCUGAGGCAGGAGGCUCCCAUGCCCCAGGCCAGCCUGG
Molecule: long non-coding RNA, 2860 nt
Organism: Cavia porcellus (domestic guinea pig)
Lineage: Eukaryota; Metazoa; Chordata; Mammalia; Rodentia; Caviidae
Source: Ensembl